UUUUAUGGAGAGUUUGAUCCUGGCUCAGAGUGAACGCUGGCGGCGUGCCUAAUACAUGCAAGUCGAACGAUGAAGCUUCUA
RNAcentral lists this ribosomal RNA (81 nucleotides) under Campylobacter coli. Its description in RNAcentral is "partial 16S ribosomal RNA". It matches the Rfam family "Bacterial small subunit ribosomal RNA", at positions 1 to 80 of the family's 1533-position model. Lineage: Bacteria; Pseudomonadati; Campylobacterota; Epsilonproteobacteria; Campylobacterales; Campylobacteraceae. RNAcentral also lists the same sequence under 1 other name. The record is from RNAcentral.